Molecule: unclassified non-coding RNA, 241 nt
Filed under: Hevea brasiliensis (rubber tree)
Lineage: Eukaryota; Viridiplantae; Streptophyta; Magnoliopsida; Malpighiales; Euphorbiaceae
Source: RNAcentral
UGGGGUGCAUACAUGGAUGGCAAAUUAAUUAUAGAGUAACAAAUAUAUAAUGGUGUAUCCUAUAAAAUACGGUCUUGUCCACGUGUUUAUAACAGUAUUUUCCUUUCAAAUUAUAAUUAUCUUUUUUUAUUUAUUAGUUAUCUUAUGAUUUGUUUAUCAUUUCAUGUAUUAAUCUUAUAUAAAAUAAAUCGGGUAUUAUUGGAGAGGGAGAGUUUUAAGUCUUUCAAGUUUAAUAUGCCUG